Molecule: ribosomal RNA, 574 nt
Filed under: uncultured bacterium
Lineage: Bacteria
Description: bacterial SSU rRNA
Rfam family: Bacterial small subunit ribosomal RNA
Source: RNAcentral
GAUGAACGCUGGCGGUAUGCUUAACACAUGCAAGUCGUACGAGAGUUUUUAACUCAAGUGGCGGACGGGUGAGUAACACGUGAGAAUUUACCUUUAGGAGGGGGAUAACAAUUGGAAACGAUUGCUAAUACCCCAUAUGCUUUCGAGUGAAAUGGAUUUUUCUGCCUAAAGAAAAGCUCGCGGCUGAUUAGCUUGUUGGUAAGGUAAUGGCUUACCAAGGCGACGAUCAGUAUCUGGUUUGAGAGGACGAUCAGACACACUGGAACUGAGACACGGUCCAGACUCCUACGGGAGGCAGCAGUGGGGAAUUUUCCGCAAUGGGCGAAAGCCUGACGGAGCAAUACCGCGUGAGGGAAGACGGCCUAUGGGUUGUAAACCUCUUUUUUCAGGGAGGAACAAAAUGACGUGUACCUGAAGAAUAAGCAUCGGCUAACUCCGUGCCAGCAGCCGCGGUAAGACGGAGGAUGCAAGUGUUAUCCGGAAUUACUGGGCGUAAAGCGUCUGUAGGUGGUUUGGUAAGUCAACUGUUAAAUCUUGAGGCUCAACUUCAAAACAGCAGUCGAAACUAUCAGAC